RNAcentral lists this ribosomal RNA (510 nucleotides) under Enterococcus faecium. RNAcentral's name for it is "bacterial SSU rRNA". It matches the Rfam family "Bacterial small subunit ribosomal RNA", at positions 21 to 502 of the family's 1533-position model. Lineage: Bacteria; Bacillati; Bacillota; Bacilli; Lactobacillales; Enterococcaceae. The record is from RNAcentral.
UGCUCAGGACGAACGCUGGCGGCGUGCCUAAUACAUGCAAGUCGUACGCUUCUUUUUCCACCGGAGCUUGCUCCACCGGAAAAAGAGGAGUGGCGAACGGGUGAGUAACACGUGGGUAACCUGCCCAUCAGAAGGGGAUAACACUUGGAAACAGGUGCUAAUACCGUAUAACAAUCGAAACCGCAUGGUUUUGAUUUGAAAGGCGCUUUCGGGUGUCGCUGAUGGAUGGACCCGCGGUGCAUUAGCUAGUUGGUGAGGUAACGGCUCACCAAGGCCACGAUGCAUAGCCGACCUGAGAGGGUGAUCGGCCACAUUGGGACUGAGACACGGCCCAAACUCCUACGGGAGGCAGCAGUAGGGAAUCUUCGGCAAUGGACGAAAGUCUGACCGAGCAACGCCGCGUGAGUGAAGAAGGUUUUCGGAUCGUAAAACUCUGUUGUUAGAGAAGAAUAAGGAUGAGAGUAACUGUUCAUCCCUUGACGGUAUCUAACCAGAAAGCCACGGCUAACU